RNAcentral lists this ribosomal RNA (359 nucleotides) under uncultured bacterium. RNAcentral describes it as "bacterial SSU rRNA". It matches the Rfam family "Bacterial small subunit ribosomal RNA", at positions 29 to 417 of the family's 1533-position model. The record is from RNAcentral.
AACGAACGCUGGCGGCAGGCCUAACACAUGCAAGUCGAACGCUCCGCAAGGGGAGUGGCAGACGGGUGAGUAACGCGUGGGAACCUACCUUACGGUCGGGAAUAGCCCAGGGAAACUUGAGCUAAUACCGUAUACGUCCGUGAGGAGAAAGUUUUAACGCCCCUAGACGGGCCCGCGUAGGAUUAGGUAGUUGGUGAGGUAACGGCUCACCAAGCCUACGAUCCUUAGCUGAUCUGAGAGGAUGAUCAGCCACACUGGGACUGAGACACGGCCCAGACUCCUACGGGAGGCAGCAGUGGGGAAUCUUGGACAAUGGGCGCAAGCCUGAUCCAGCCAUGCCGCGUGAGUGAAGAAGGCCU